ACUUCUAACAAAAAGGUUUUGUUUAGUUUCGUUUCUUGUGAUGGCUUCAUCGAAGAGUGUGGGAUCUGCCCCAUAUAUGCCUCUGAAUAUCAGAAUUUCAUUCAACAAAGGAAAAUGAAGUGUGAGUUGGGCAAGAGGUCAAAGCGGCAUCGAGAUAUUGAUGAAAUGGAGAUGGAAAUCUGUAAAUUUGGAACCGGAGUUGGAAACUCUGAUGGGGAAGAAACAGUGUCUUCAUGCAAGAAAUUGAAAAUGGAGUUGUGUGCUCAGCCUAAUGGACAAGAAGAUAUUGAAGAAUUGGAAGCUUUGCUCAUGAGAAUCAAAAUCAGCUAGAACCAUUUCUUAAACAACACUAACAGAUCAUUAAUGGAAUUCCAUCUCCUUGCUUGGGCCUUUUUCUGCGGCGGAGGAUAUCUUGAUGAGGGCUGAUGACACACUGCAAGAACUGCUUCAUGGCUAAUCUUAAUUAUACUUGUAACGAAGCUUGAAGCUAUCAUGUACAAUAGUAUUUUAUGAUGCCCAUGUGGUGUGUAUAAUUGUUGAAAAUUUAAGGGAAAACAUAUAUGGGAGUGCUUAUAGUUUCACUGGAUUUUGAAUUAGGUAAUUAUAGUUUUUCUUUUUAUUAGAUCCUUAGAGUUUUUUAACGCUAAUUACUAGUCCUGCUCAUAUUCUGCCUGCUAUUCUAAAAGGGGUUUGUUUAUUUGGCGGGUGACUGUCACAUGGUCAAGCAGAUUUUCUUCUUCUUG
Molecule: long non-coding RNA, 743 nt
Organism: Neltuma alba
Lineage: Eukaryota; Viridiplantae; Streptophyta; Magnoliopsida; Fabales; Fabaceae
Exons: 2
Source: RefSeq, a predicted model, not a curated record